GGGGCGGGGAUUGCUCAGGUUCCAUUGAGCCGCAUGCUAAGGGCCGUUAAAAGCCCUUUGUGGAGGAGACAGUGGAAGGACGGCAGCCAUUGGCCCUCGGAUGAAAACCGCGGGUGGGAUGGAGGGUCUGUAAAGUGAAGGUGGCAAGGAGACCAAUUGAAGAUAAAUAAACUAAAGAGUAGUAGACGAUCUGAUUCUUUGGGGUUGGCUUGGUUACGUUGGCCUCCAACGGUGUGACUAGCUGAGAUCUCCUGUAGGUGUCUUGAAGAGGCCACUUAAAAAAGAACUAAAGACAAGAUCUGAGACAUUGGGGGCAGGGGGGGUCAACUAAAUACCCAGAGACUCCCCUCACACAUCUCCUCCUCACUGUACCGAGCUAUUCAACACUAGCUCCCCUCCCCUCCCUCCUUUGGACACCCUGAGAGCUCUGUGCUCUGCUGUGCCUUUCUCUCUGAAGCCCUGCUAAAGUCUGCUAUCUCUCUCUCUUGCUGUCUGUCUUUUGCAUGACAAUUAUUCACCCAAGUCCAUGGCCCAGAACAAUGCUUGUGUAGUUAGGGUUUGAUGUCUUUUAAGCUAUUCCCCCUCAGGAUGCCUGGUCCCGGGCCUACGUAACUUUUUUUUUUGUAUCUGGGGGGGCAGGGAGGGUGAUGUAAACGCAUUAUGGCGUGAGUUAAUUUAUGAAACUCAGAAGAAGAUAUAUUAUUUAUUCAAUAUCCAAUAAAUUCUGGUUGCAAACCGUGGCGACGCAUGGGAGGUGUAACAAAAUUUCUGUUGUAUUUUUGUGGUGUUACUCCAUUCCACCAUUUGUUGUGAAAUAAUCCAUCUUUAAUAAAAAAAAAACAGUACAAAUACAGUAAUUGUACUUCACAUGUCACAUGGGCCAAUUCAAUAAAUACAAAAAACAUCCUGGAUGAACUCAUUUGUCUGAAGGUGGAAGGACACCGCUUGAUCACUGCAUCCGCACACAGAACCCUGGACCUCGGACCAGUUUUGGACCUUUGGG
This is a long non-coding RNA of Gasterosteus aculeatus aculeatus (three-spined stickleback), 1003 nucleotides long. The record is from Ensembl. NCBI's taxonomy places the organism in Eukaryota, Metazoa, Chordata, Actinopteri, Perciformes, Gasterosteidae.